Molecule: ribosomal RNA, 253 nt
Filed under: uncultured bacterium
Lineage: Bacteria
Description: partial 16S ribosomal RNA
Rfam family: Bacterial small subunit ribosomal RNA
Source: RNAcentral
GACGGAGGGGGCAAGCGUUGUUCGGAUUUAUUGGGCGUAAAGAGCGUGUAGGCGGCUGGGUAGGUCCGUUGUGAAAACUCGAGGCUCAACCUCGAGACGCCGAUGGAAACCCCCCAGCUAGAGUCCGGAAGAGGAGAGUGGAAUUCCUGGUGUAGCGGUGAAAUGCGCAGAUAUCAGGAAGAACACCCGUGGCUAAGGCGGCUCUCUAGUACGGUACUGACGCUGAGACGCGAAAGCGUGGGGAGCGAACAGG